This 494-nucleotide ribosomal RNA is filed under the name uncultured bacterium. Its description in RNAcentral is "bacterial SSU rRNA". It matches the Rfam family "Bacterial small subunit ribosomal RNA", at positions 29 to 518 of the family's 1533-position model. The record is from RNAcentral.
AUGAACGCUAGCGACAGGCCUAACACAUGCAAGUCGAGGGGCAGCACAAGGAGCAAUCUGAGGUGGCGACCGGCGCACGGGUGAGUAACACGUAUGCAACCUGUCUGUAAGCGGGGAAUAACCCGUUGAAAGACGGACUAAUACCGCAUAAUACUAAAUUACUGCAUGGUAAUUUAUUUAAACAUUUAUGGCUUACAGAUGGGCAUGCGCAUGAUUAGCUAGUUGGAGAGGUAACGGCUCCCCAAGGCAACGAUCAUUAGGGGUUCUGAGAGGAAGGUCCCCCACACUGGUACUGAGACACGGACCAGACUCCUACGGGAGGCAGCAGUGAGGAAUAUUGGUCAAUGGACGAGAGUCUGAACCAGCCAAGUCGCGUGCAGGAAGAAUGUCCUAUGGAUUGUAAACUGCUUUUGCAGGGGAAUAAAGUGCAUCACGUGUGAUGUUUUGUAUGUACUCUGCGAAUAAGGAUCGGCUAACUCCGUGCCAGCAGCAGC